RNAcentral lists this ribosomal RNA (1153 nucleotides) under Ictalurus punctatus (channel catfish). Its description in RNAcentral is "bacterial LSU rRNA". It matches the Rfam family "Bacterial large subunit ribosomal RNA", at positions 1773 to 2925 of the family's 2925-position model. The record is from RNAcentral. Lineage: Eukaryota; Metazoa; Chordata; Actinopteri; Siluriformes; Ictaluridae.
GAGGGGGCACAGGCCAGGGGGUAGCGACUGUUUAGCAAAAACACAGGGCUCUGCUAAGUCGGCUUCAAGACGACGUAUAGGGCCUGACGCCUGCCCGGUGCCUGAAGGUUAAGUGGAGGGGUGCAAGCUCUGAAAUGAAGCCCAGGUAAACGGCGGCCGUAACUAUAACGGUCCUAAGGUAGCGAAAUUCCUUGUCGGGUAAGUUCCGACCUGCACGAAUGGCGUAACGAUGGCGGCGCUGUCUCCACCCGAGACUCAGUGAAAUUGAAAUCGCUGUGAAGAUGCAGUGUAUCCGCGGCUAGACGGAAAGACCCCGUGAACCUUUACUAUAGCUUUGCACUGGACUUUGAAUUUGCUUGUGUAGGAUAGGUGGGAGGCUUUGAAGCGUGGACGCCAGUUCGCGUGGAGCCAACCUUGAAAUACCACCCUGGCAACUUUGAGGUUCUAACUCAGGUCCGUUAUCCGGAUCGAGGACAGUGUAUGGUGGGUAGUUUGACUGGGGCGGUCUCCUCCCAAAGAGUAACGGAGGAGCACGAAGGUGUGCUAAUCAUGGUCGGAAAUCAUGAGGUUAGUGUAAAGGCAAAAGCACGCUUGACUGCGAGACAGACAUGUCGAGCAGGUACGAAAGUAGGUCUUAGUGAUCCGGUGGUUCUGUAUGGAAGGGCCAUCGCUCAACGGAUAAAAGGUACUCCGGGGAUAACAGGCUGAUACCGCCCAAGAGUUCAUAUCGACGGCGGUGUUUGGCACCUCGAUGUCGGCUCAUCACAUCCUGGGGCUGAAGCCGGUCCCAAGGGUAUGGCUGUUCGCCAUUUAAAGUGGUACGCGAGCUGGGUUUAGAACGUCGUGAGACAGUUCGGUCCCUAUCUGCCGUGGACGUUUGAGAUUUGAGAGGGGCUGCUCCUAGUACGAGAGGACCGGAGUGGACGAACCUCUGGUGUUCCGGUUGUCACGCCAGUGGCAUUGCCGGGUAGCUAUGUUCGGAAUAGAUAACCGCUGAAAGCAUCUAAGCGGGAAACUAGCCUCAAGAUGAGAUCUCACUGGGACCUUGAGUCCCCUGAAGGGCCGUCGAAGACUACGACGUUGAUAGGUUGGGUGUGUAAGCGCUGUGAGGCGUUGAGCUAACCAAUACUAAUUGCCCGUGAGGCUUGACCAU